RNAcentral lists this ribosomal RNA (315 nucleotides) under uncultured bacterium. RNAcentral's name for it is "bacterial SSU rRNA". It matches the Rfam family "Bacterial small subunit ribosomal RNA", at positions 28 to 334 of the family's 1533-position model. The record is from RNAcentral.
GAUGAACGCUAGCUACAGGCUUAACACAUGCAAGUCGAGGGGCAGCGGGAUUGAAGCUUGCUUCAAUUGCCGGCGACCGGCGCACGGGUGAGUAACGCGUAUCCAACCUUCCGCUUACUCGGGGAUAGCCUUUCGAAAGAAAGAUUAAUACCCGAUGGUAUCUUAAGCACGCAUGAGAUUAAGAUUAAAGAUUUAUCGGUAAGCGAUGGGGAUGCGUUCCAUUAGGCAGUUGGCGGGGUAACGGCCCACCAAGGCGACGAUCAGUAGCCGGCCUGAGAGGGUGACCGGCCACAUUGGGACUGAGACACGGCCCAA